AGAAGAGGAGGACAUGGCGUGGUAUUGGCUCGGCUCAUCCCUUUCGGAUUAAUCAUACUCGAGCACGAGGCGAGCCGAACCAAUAUCACUCAUGUAUUCUUCAUU
RNAcentral lists this microRNA precursor (105 nucleotides) under Ananas comosus (pineapple). The record is from RNAcentral. Lineage: Eukaryota; Viridiplantae; Streptophyta; Magnoliopsida; Poales; Bromeliaceae.